ACGCUGGUUUAGCUGUGGACCGGCUGCAGGCGGUAAACGGCAGGGUUUAGUGGAGAUCACAUUACAAUGCCGGGCUAAAACAGGAACGGGAUGCUAUAAGGAGCACCGGACCAGUUGGGAUUGUACCAGUAUGAACUCAUAUCUACUGCAGUCAAAAGCUACUGAGAUUUUUGUCAGUGUGCGGCAGAAACAAAACUGGAGCUGCAUUGUGUCUGUAUUCUGAACGGGAACAGAGCCACCUUUGGAAGAAGUCCACUUAUUUCUGAAGACGCACUGGCUUGUCGUCAACCUAAAAAUCUGACAAUGCAGAAAGUGUCAAGGUACGUGAUUGCAAGACGAACACAGAAAGAGGCCCAACUCCUCCCUCGCAAAAACAUGAUGCAGCAUCAUAAUUAGCACCUAUCAAUAAAGUGAGCGCCCACACGAAGAGAGCCAGACCGCGAUUCAGAUGCAGGCAGAGCAGCGUUUCUGAGCCGGAACCGUUCAUUCAUGCAUGCGUUCACCUAAUAAAGAGCAAUAGAUUAAUGCGCUGAACUAAUUAAUUAAUAAAAACACAAAUCGUACGUCAACGCAAACAAACUGAGCGUUUAGAGCCUCUUUUAAGAUCAAACAUCACCAUCCUCUUCCUCAUAAUCUUCAUCUGCAUUCACACAGGUGUUUGCUGGGAGGAACGCGGCGGACGCGCUGCGGGUCACGUCCCGCCUCUGCGUCACAUUCUCCGGCGGCACGAGGGCGCGCACGCACGCCUCAGAUUCUAACGAAUUCCAAAUGAAUGAAGGUUAUAGAGCAACCGUCAACAUGAAAAUGACAACCGACGACGGCCGUUAAGACAGCUAGUCGGCAUAAAACGGCGGAAAACGCAGCCAAAUCUAAGAUUGAAACGCUCGGAUAUAGAAGUAAAGCCAAUGCAACAUUAUGGAAGCAUGUGGAAGAUCAGCACUAAGAAUGGCAGGAUAUGAGACAGCGCUCUGUCUCUCUCUCAGGCGAGGACGAGCCGGAUAAUGGCUUAUCUCUCUCUCUCUGGAGGUCACUGUGUACAGCGAGGCUCUUAAAGAGGUAAGCAGGGUAAACUCUGAUUAGUAUGGUAACGGCUGAGGCUCCACAGCUGACGUACAGGCCACAAUCACGUGCAUUCGUACACAGGCCUUUGCGUUCAGCUCAAUGCACGAUCAUAAAAACACACAGAGAUAAAAAUAGGCUCGGCUGAUAAUAAUAGCACACUGCCAUUGGCCAAUGCAGCAUCACGACGCGGAUGCUGCUUUCUUCUCUUCAUCUCGCUCCCUCAGUUCUGGCUUUCAAAGUCAUCGUUUGGGAUGGUUUGCAUGAAGCAGUGAGAUCAAAUGCAAUAUUAAAAAGACAAAAAGGUGGGUUUGAUGUUGUUUUUGGCAAUCCAGGCAAAUGCAUUGCUCUCUCUCUCUCUCUCUCUCUCUCUCUCUCUCUCUCUCUCUCUCUCUCUGUCUC
Long non-coding RNA from Puntigrus tetrazona (Sumatra barb), 1461 nucleotides. RefSeq lists it as uncharacterized. The record is from RefSeq and is a predicted model, not a curated record. Lineage: Eukaryota; Metazoa; Chordata; Actinopteri; Cypriniformes; Cyprinidae. The transcript has 4 exons.